GGUAGUGUAUUGGACAACCAUGGCUCUCACGGGUAACGGGGAAUUAGGGUUCGAUUCCGGAGAAGGAGCCUGAGAAACGGCUACUACAUCUAAGGAAGGCAGCAGGCGCGUAAAUUACCCAAUCCUGACUCAGGGAGGUAGUGACAAGAUAUAACGACGCGACUAAAAAUCGCGAUUGUAGUGAAGGUAUUCCAAACCGAACCAUUAGUACGAUUGGAGGGCAAGUCUGGUGCCAGCAGCCGCGGUAAUUCCAGCUCCAAUAGCGUAUAUUAAAGUUGUUGCAGUUAAAAAGCUCGUAGUUGGAUUUCAAGGGAAGCAACGUGGACACACGUCUGCCCCCUACCAGUCUUUGACUGUUACUGUGAGAAAAUUAGAGUGUUUCAAGCAGGCUGUUGCAGGAAUACAUUAGCAUGGAAUAACGAAUGGGUCUAGAAUCUUGGUUAAUUCUAGAUUACGAUUAAUAGGGACAGUUGGGGGCAUUAGUAUUUAAUUGUCAGAGGUGAAAUUCUUGGAUUUAUUAAAGACUAACGUAUGCGAAAGCAUUUGCCAAGGAUGUUUUCA
Molecule: ribosomal RNA, 561 nt
Filed under: uncultured marine ciliate
Lineage: Eukaryota; Ciliophora
Description: SSU rRNA
Rfam family: Eukaryotic small subunit ribosomal RNA
Source: RNAcentral